This 26-nucleotide small RNA is filed under the name Bombyx mori (domestic silkworm). Its description in RNAcentral is "ovarian small RNA-16195". Lineage: Eukaryota; Metazoa; Arthropoda; Insecta; Lepidoptera; Bombycidae. The record is from RNAcentral.
GAUUGGGAGUAAAAUUGGGUUUGGGA